Molecule: ribosomal RNA, 432 nt
Filed under: uncultured bacterium
Lineage: Bacteria
Description: bacterial SSU rRNA
Rfam family: Bacterial small subunit ribosomal RNA
Source: RNAcentral
CGCGAAGAACCUUACCAAAUCUUGACAUCCUUUGACCGCUCUAGAGAUAGAGUUUUCCCCUUCGGGGGACAAAGUGACAGGUGGUGCAUGGUUGUCGUCAGCUCGUGUCGUGAGAUGUUGGGUUAAGUCCCGCAACGAGCGCAACCCUUAAGCUUAGUUGCCAUCAUUAAGUUGGGCACUCUAAGUUGACUGCCGGUGACAAACCGGAGGAAGGUGGGGAUGACGUCAAAUCAUCAUGCCCCUUAUGAUUUGGGCUACACACGUGCUACAAUGGACAAUACAAAGGGCAGCUAAACCGCGAGGUCAAGCAAAUCCCAUAAAGUUGUUCUCAGUUCGGAUUGUAGUCUGCAACUCGACUACAUGAAGCUGGAAUCGCUAGUAAUCGUAGAUCAGCAUGCUACGGUGAAUACGUUCCCGGGUCUUGUACACACC